RNAcentral lists this ribosomal RNA (396 nucleotides) under Streptococcus sanguinis. RNAcentral describes it as "bacterial SSU rRNA". It matches the Rfam family "Bacterial small subunit ribosomal RNA", at positions 28 to 406 of the family's 1533-position model. Lineage: Bacteria; Bacillati; Bacillota; Bacilli; Lactobacillales; Streptococcaceae. The record is from RNAcentral.
GACGAACGCUGGCGGGCGUGCCUAAUACAUGCAAGUAGAACGUGAAGAGAGGGAGCUUGCUCUUCUUGGAUGAGUUGCGAACGGGUGAGUAACGCGUAGGUAACCUGCCUGGUAGCGGGGGAUAACUAUUGGAAACGAUAGCUAAUACCGCAUAAAAUUGAUUAUUGCAUGAUAAUUAAUUGAAAGAUGCAAUUGCAUCACUACCAGAUGGACCUGCGUUGUAUUAGGCUAGUUGGUGAGGUAACGGCUCACCAAGGCGACGAUACAUAGCCGACCUGAGAGGGUGAUCGGCCACACUGGGGACUGAGACAACGGCCCAGACUCCUACGGGAGGCAGCAGUAGGGGAAUCUUCGGCAAUUGGGGGGGAAACCCUGACCGAGCAACGCCGCGUGAGG